CAAGACGUAGCUUUAACCAAAGCAUUCAGCUUACACCUGAAAGAUAUCUGCUCAACCCAGAUCGUCUUGA
Molecule: non-coding RNA, 70 nt
Organism: Parus major (Great Tit)
Lineage: Eukaryota; Metazoa; Chordata; Aves; Passeriformes; Paridae
Source: Ensembl